AUGUGUCAGCUCAACUGUGCUACCAGAGCACCAAAGCCACCAACCAACAACUAUGACCACACAUCUCGUCUCUUUACUGUCUUGUGUCAAAGGGCAGCACCGCAGUGUGAAACUUGCACAAACUGUCAAUUUCGCACUGCGCCCACCACAUUUAUUCCGGAGAGCUCAGCCUGUGAAAGUGAAGCAUCAUCAUCUCAACCACCACCACCCAUUGCCACCCCAAUAAUCACCAAAGGGAUAACAAGUACUACUACUAGCACUACCGUUUCCACAUCCAUGUCAGUUCUUGGAGCUAGAACAAGAGAGUUGAUAGCCAAAUCCCAAGUUUUUAUCCUUCUCCUUUAUGUAAAAUACUUUGCAAUUUAA
This 366-nucleotide ribosomal RNA is filed under the name Triticum aestivum (bread wheat). RNAcentral describes it as "partial small subunit ribosomal RNA". Lineage: Eukaryota; Viridiplantae; Streptophyta; Magnoliopsida; Poales; Poaceae. The record is from RNAcentral.